AUCAGGACAGAACACAGACAACUCACCAUGGAGUUUGUGUUUCACUGGGUUUUCUUUGUUGCUAUUUUAAAAGGUGUCCAGUCUGAGGUGCAGCUGGUGGAGUCUGGGGGAGACCUGGUGAAGCCUGGGGGGUCCCUGAGACUCUCCUGUGCAGCCUCUGGAUUCACCUUCAGUAGCUAUGCCAUGAGCUGGGUCCGCCAGGCUCCAGGGAAGGGGCUGCAGUUCGUCGCAGCUAUUAGCAGUAGUGGUGGUAGCACAGGCUAUGCAGACUCUGUGAAGGGCCGAUUCACCAUCUCCAGAGACAAUGGCAAGAACACGCUGUAUCUGCAGAUGAACAGCCUGAGAGCCGAGGACACGGCCGUGUAUUACUGUGCCAGAGACUGUGGAUGUGACAACCAUGUGUUCUUUGAGUCUGAGCCACACCAUGCACAGUUGUCCCACCAGACAGCUGUCAGGUGUGUGUCUCAGUCCCUGGAUAUGAAAGCUGGUACAACUCAGGAUGGAAACCCAAAUCAAGAAACUUUCCAUCAGCUAAAAGGGAUGGAGGCUUUGGUUCAGGAAUGA
Molecule: non-coding RNA, 564 nt
Organism: Odobenus rosmarus divergens (Pacific walrus)
Lineage: Eukaryota; Metazoa; Chordata; Mammalia; Carnivora; Odobenidae
Source: the annotation of a RefSeq genome assembly